Oreochromis aureus is the source of this 942-nucleotide long non-coding RNA. Lineage: Eukaryota; Metazoa; Chordata; Actinopteri; Cichliformes; Cichlidae. The record is from Ensembl.
CUUAUACAGUUUGCCCACACAGGCAGACUGAACUCCAGACUGACUCUGAGAAGGACGAACAGAAGGUUAUCAUAUUUAAUACCUCUAUCAUGAAGAUGCUGACUGCGUUUCUGCAUGUGUGUCUCAUCAUUGCUGUGACACAAAGUCAUCCUCUUUUUGAGGAAAUUGGGUCAGGUGACUCAAGUAAUGCAGAUGUUGGUUCGCCAGGAGCAACGGGAGACCCACCAUUUGCAACAGAUGUUCCAGAUGAAACAACAACUGUGAUAGCUGACUCAACUACUCAAGAGAGAAUCUAUUAUGACUCAGAGGAAGAUCUAGGAUUUCUGAGAGACAAACCAACUGUGAUAGCUGACUCAACUAAUGAUGAUGGAUACUUUUAUGACUCAGAUGAAGAACUAGGAUAUCCGAGAUGGAGAGAGGAAACAGGCGGGUCUGAUGAUUCAUCUAAUGGAGAUGGAGAAAAUUCUGACACAUCAGAAGAUGCACCAGAUGCAGCAGAGGAAACAGGCGGGUCUGAUGAUUCAUCUAAUGGAGAUGGAGAAAGUUCUGACACAUCAGAAGAUGCCCCAGUUGCAGCAGAUGCAGAUGAUGCCUGAAACAAAGACACCACCAUAUCAAGACACAUGAAGUUUUUUAAUAAAGAAAAGAGGGACUGCUUGGAUAACAUUGACUGUAAAACUGGAAACCAUAUGCUCCUGCAACAACUCUCUAACUCAUUCGUAAAAAGCACAAUAGCUGAUGUGUCUGUCUUCAUUACUGUUUCUUCCUCUGUAUUUCUGCAUUAUUGCUAUGAUGCAAGCAAUCAAGCAUCAUGUGCAAUAAAUUGGAACUGGAUAUUCACUUUAAAAGUCAGUAUGAUAAAAAGAAUACUUUCUGCACCUUUAUAUUAUAUAUACUGAGCUGCACUUCAUUUUCACAUGCAAAUUAAAACUAUUAGCAUUG